Molecule: ribosomal RNA, 445 nt
Filed under: uncultured bacterium
Lineage: Bacteria
Description: partial 16S ribosomal RNA
Rfam family: Bacterial small subunit ribosomal RNA
Source: RNAcentral
GUGAGGAAUAUUGGUCAAUGGGCGAGAGCCUGAACCAGCCAAGUCGCGUGAAGGAUGAAGGUUUUAUGAAUUGUAAACUUCUUUUGCAGGGGAAUAAAGUACGGUACGUGUACCGUUUUGUAUGUACUCUGCGAAUAAGGAUCGGCUAACUCCGUGCCAGCAGCCGCGGUAAUACGGAGGAUCCAAGCGUUAUCCGGAUUUAGUGGGUUUAAAGGGUGCGCAGGCGGGUUGAUAAGUCAGCGGUGAAAGUUUGCAGCUUAACUGGAAAAUUGCCGUUGAAACUGUAGGUCUUGAGUGCAAAUGAGGUAGGCGGAAUGUGUUGUGUAGCGGUGAAAUGCUUAGAUAUAACACAGAACUCCGAUUGCGAAGGCAGCUUACUGGGAUGCAACUGACACUGAUGCACGAAAGCGUGGGUAUCAAACAGGAUUAGAUACCCGUGUAGUCC